Long non-coding RNA from Gallus gallus (chicken), 1641 nucleotides. RefSeq lists it as uncharacterized. The transcript is spliced from 3 exons. Lineage: Eukaryota; Metazoa; Chordata; Aves; Galliformes; Phasianidae. The record is from RefSeq and is a predicted model, not a curated record.
GCCGCCUGAGGGAAGCGGCCGUGUGGCGCUGAGGGCAGAGCUCCCUCAGCAGCGCUGUUUGUGUCUCUGCCGCUCCUCACUGUCGUCGUCCCGCUGUAAAAGGAGACGUGAGGGCCCUCUGUAGCCGUGGCCCGCUGGCAGGCUCCCAGAGUGAAGAAAAAAGGCUGACAUGCUGACCCAGUGUCAGGCAGCAGAAGUGGGGAUCCAGGUCCUCCCGUUGCUGAAGGAAGCGCCCAGGAACGAGGCUGCAGGAUUAAGGAGGAAGCGGAGGUUUUAAUGAAGCAGACUCCAUUCUUUGGAGGGGUGAAGGGAGGACCCUUCUGAGUCUUUCCAGGCUACUCCCAUCUGAUACAGGUCAGACACAGGAGGCAAUCGCUGGCUGUAUUUUGUUGAAGUCCUUUCAGACCUCCCGCCACACCUAAUCGUCCCAACAGCAGCAGUCACCUGGAAGUCUGUUAUGUUCAUUGGACCAAAGUCUCUUUGUUUCAGCUGCACCGUUCAGGCCAGAUAACCACAGAGGGCUUGAGAUGGCCUUGCCUUCACACCCAGGUGGCAGUGGAGGCUGUGACAGCCAGAGAAGGCGGCUCACACAGAUUAGGUACAAUGAAGGGGGUUGAUGAAUGCUGCACUUUAGCAAGUGGCGUGACACCUUUUCUUCCUCCUGAUAGCAGGACAGCUGUGGUCUACAGAGACACCUGGGGAACAAGAUUUCCUGGAGGGCUUUUUUUGCUCUGAUUUUCUUCUGCUUUUACUAUAGAAGGUAGACUUCAUGAAUGACAGCACCUCCUCUGUCCCACCUUUUAUGUGCAGCUUGGUUUUGGAGAUUGGAAGGUUUUUCAUCCAUUGAUUUUGUGCCCAUCGUGGAUAUGUUUUAAAAAUACCCUUUUCUUAAAAAAAAAAAGUCCCUACUUCUCAUGGAUAAAUUUUGAUGGGGACAGUGAGAAAUAAAUGUAAACAAGUGCUGAACGACAUGCUGAAUCUGAUAGCAUAAAUCCCCUCCGCAGAGCUGUAAAUUGACUCAAAGCUCCUGUUGUGUGGAAAAGAACUCUUGGGCCCAACAAGGGGUAAGAUCUUAAUAAAACCUUUGUUCACUGUUACAAUAGGGACCAGCUAAGUGUGGUUUGGGGCUUCUGCCAAGUUAACCCUGACUUAUUCCCAUUGUCACAAGUACUGCUAAGAAACCCUUUAAUGUGUUAUUAUGGGUAAAGUAUGAAAAAUGGUAUCUUUCAUUUCAAAUGCUCCAUUUAAAGCAAAAGUGUUCAUUUUAAGAACAUCCUUUAUUCCCUUUCCCCAUUGCUACACUCAGUGCUUUAAAGAAAAUUCACAUUUUGUGUGGCAUUAAUUUUCUUUUUGUUGGAAAAAAAAGUUUCUUAUGUGGUCUGAAACCGCCACUGUCUUUAAUAUUGCCGGAGUCUUAUUUUCUUCAAGAUGAAAGUGCAGGUGUUCUGAGCCCCCCGAACACAUGCUAACCUGGCUUACUUGAUUGUUCCCUUGCCUGUGGUCUGUUAGUCACAGCCCAACCAUGGUCUCUUGCCCUGUUGUUAGCUCCUUAGGUCAGGAUGCAUGUACAGAGCAUUCAGAUCCAUGUGCAGACAGUGUUGCAAUGGUAAUCUGAAUAACAAUAAAGUUGUGAAAAUAAGA